RNA transcript from Rhodamnia argentea, 1932 nucleotides. It is a transcript of the gene named 4-hydroxybenzoate polyprenyltransferase, mitochondrial, with no coding region annotated. The record is from RefSeq and is a predicted model, not a curated record. NCBI's taxonomy places the organism in Eukaryota, Viridiplantae, Streptophyta, Magnoliopsida, Myrtales, Myrtaceae. The transcript is spliced from 10 exons.
UAGCUGUCUCUCUUUCUCUCUCUCUACUGCAUCGCAACUCAUUUCGUUGGCGGCGAUCUAUGAUCUGCGGGUCUCCUUACUCACGGAAAUCCUCCAAGAAACAGCGCGAGAUUCUUGGAAGCGUAUUGGGCAUUCGCCUUUCCUGCUGAGAGGAUUCUUGUGGGCGUAUUGAUGAUAUUGCUGCAAUGUACGCGAGGAGGUUAAAGACUAGACUUCAGAGAUGGGGGUUGGUUUUCUAUCAUCGCUGCAAUAAUGAGGUUGGUGUUCGACGCCAAGAUGAUCUUUUCCGCAGCUAUGUAUUGACCCCGGAAGCUUCGGAGAGUGAAUUCGCUCCUUCGCUCUCUGCUCUGGUUGGGAAAUGCCCGUUCAGCUCAAGUAGUUCCGAGCAGCUUUAUUUGUCGUCCCACAGUGCCAAUUUGGAUUUCUCCCGGCGAAAUUUUAGGUCUUUUAGAUGUCCGAAUGGUGCGUCUGGCGUGGGCUUUUCGAGCGUGGCGAAGAGUGCCAAGAAUGAUGAGAAUGGCAAAGAUAAGGGUUCAUGUGGAGGUCACGAGAAAGUGUCCAAUCUCAGGGCGUCUUGGAUCGACUUGUAUUUGCCUAGAAAGGCGAGGCCUUAUGCUCACCUUGCUCGCUUGGAUAAGCCUAUUGGGACUUGGCUGCUUGCUUGGCCUUGUAUGUGGUCAAUCACGCUGGCAACAAACCCAGGAAGCCUUCCUGAUCUUAAGAUGUUGAUGCUUUUUGGUUCUGGAGCUUUGCUGUUGAGAGGUGCUGGAUGCACUAUCAAUGACCUCCUCGAUAGGGACAUUGAUGUGAUGGUGGAACGAACAAAAUCCCGACCAAUCGCAAGUGGUCUUUUGACGCCAUUUCAAGGGCUUUGUUUCCUUGGGUUUCAAUUGCUUUUAGGUCUUGGAAUUCUUCUCCAGUUGAAUAAUUACAGCCGUAUUCUGGGAGCUUCUUCUUUGUUGCUUGUCUUUUCCUAUCCCUUGAUGAAAAGGUUCACAUUUUGGCCGCAGGCCUAUCUAGGUUUGACUUUCAAUUGGGGAGCUUUACUCGGAUGGGCUGCUGUUAAAGGAAGUUUGGAUCCUUACAUCGUGCUUCCUCUAUAUUUUUCUGGAGUUUUUUGGACUCUUGUGUAUGACACUAUAUAUGCACACCAGGAUAAAGAAGACGAUGUUAAAGUGGGUGUAAGAUCAACGGCAUUGAGAUUCGGAGAUUUGUCGAAGGAAUGGAUUUCUGGCUUUGGAAUCGCUUGCAUUAGCAGUCUUGCACUCUCUGGAUAUAAUGCUGAUAUUGGAUGGCCAUACUAUGCAUUCCUUAUUGCUGCUUCUGGACAUAUAGCGUGGCAGAUAUCAACAGUUGAUCUAUCCUGCCGUGCCGAUUGUAACCGAAAAUUUGUGUCCAACAAGUGGUUUGGGGCCCUUGUAUUUGGAGGAAUUUUGUUUGGAAAGCUUGCAACGUAGAGUCUUAGAAAGAAGCAGAGGAAGCAAAUCGAAGGACAAGCCCCUGCUCCUUGCAAGCAAACUCUUUGGCCUUCAUCUCGUGACAACUCACUUUCGGAAACUCCUGGUCUCAAAACUUCUCUAGUGUAACUUUGUCGUUGAAACGUUGAUCGUCACCAUUCAUUCAAGCAACAGCAUGGUCGAUGGUGAACAAUCAGAUUUCCUAAGCAGCUAUUCCCCUCGGACAAUAAGGAUUGCAUUAGAGUGAUGGAUGAUACACUUUUCUCGGCGGUGACAGCUACACUUGAUUAAAUUCAUUUUGUUAGUCGAAAUGAACAUUGACUCGGAAUAUAAUUAUAAUGGGGUUUGUUGGGGGCAUUGCUCAUGAUACUCGUAUCUUCUAUAAAGCUCUUUGGAGACAUGAGAUACAAUAUGUGUGUGAAUUAAACUUACACCAGUGUUAGUAAAUAUUAUUUAGUAGAUGGUGAUAUCCAAA